Molecule: ribosomal RNA, 277 nt
Filed under: uncultured Fusibacter sp.
Lineage: Bacteria; Bacillati; Bacillota; Clostridia; Eubacteriales; Fusibacteraceae
Description: partial 16S ribosomal RNA
Rfam family: Bacterial small subunit ribosomal RNA
Source: RNAcentral
GUGUUUAGUUGCAAACAGGUCAAGCUGUGCACUCUAGACAGACUGCCGUGGACAACACGGAGGAAGGUGGGGAUGACGUCAAAUCAUCAUGCCCCUUAUGAUCUGGGCUACACACGUGCUACAAUGGCCGGUACAACGGGCAGCGAAGGAGCGAUCCGGAGCGAAUCCUAAAAAGACCGGUCCCAGUUCGGAUUGCAGGCUGAAACUCGCCUACAUGAAGUUGGAGUUACUAGUAAUCGCGAAUCAGAAUGUCGCGGUGAAUGCGUUCCCGGGUCUU